Molecule: long non-coding RNA, 685 nt
Filed under: Triticum aestivum (bread wheat)
Lineage: Eukaryota; Viridiplantae; Streptophyta; Magnoliopsida; Poales; Poaceae
Description: long non-coding RNA (TAES_LNC024168)
Source: RNAcentral
CGUUUUCUUUAUGCAGGACAUGGGUUUCAGUCUGUUCGACUAAGCGCUUCAGUUCCUCCCCCCUACCCUCUGUUUACCCUAGUAUCUGUCGUGUGUGGCCUGCCACAACAGCGCCUGCAUAAUAUCUAGAGACCUGAAGUUCGUGCUAUUUUGCUUGGGACAAUGUAUAUGUUUAGUACCUUCGUAUGUGAGUGUGUUACUGCUUCUGCAGCCUUGAGCAGUUGAUUGAUAAAUUGGUGUUAUGUUUCUCGCAUAUGUCUUGAUGUUUGUGGUCGAUGAAAGUGCACAUGAUCUUUUGAUGUUCUGAAUGGUUUAUCUGGUGAAAGGAUCUUGAUUUUCUCUGUGACUGAAUGGGUUUUCUCUGGGAUGGAAUGCCCUUUCCUCACACUGGUGACUAUAUGACCAUUUUUCACAGUGAGAUCUCACACUCGCUUCUCUGAACAGAUAAAGGAGAAUGGAGAUGCAAACAUAGAUUUGAAUAAAUUGGUGGACACUUUUUGACAAAUAUUUCAUUCAUAUCAUUCAUUAUUCAUUGGAUCUUCAUACAACUGGGGUAUUGUGAGCUUUGACGAGAGGCACCAGAAACAGCAGACAUCACCUGCGAUACUUGAGCAAAGAGGAAGGGCGAUGCUAGGUGCCGGCGCACCGGCUGAAAGUUUUGGCCGGUCCUGCCCCAGCCCUUGGA